UAUUAUUUUGAACUAGAUUGAUAUUACCAGGUUAGUAGUAGUUAUGUGCUUGAAAAUUAAAGAAGAUGGCGGUAUUUUAGUCUAUUCAGAGGAACCUGUCCUGUAAUCGAUGAUCCACGAUUUAUUAUACUUAUUUUAUAAGUUUGCAUAUCGCUGUAGAUGGAAUGUCCUUUAAGGGUUUAUAAACAUUCAAGAGGUUUUUAUUUGUGAAAGUAAAUCAAGUCAAGAUGUAGCUGAUAAAUAAGAAGAGAUGGGUUACAAUAAAUUUAUUUAUAACGGAUUAAUAUAUGAAAUUUAUUAUAAAGGUGGAUUUGAAGG
This 318-nucleotide ribosomal RNA is filed under the name Galapaganus conwayensis. Its description in RNAcentral is "partial 12S ribosomal RNA". The record is from RNAcentral. Lineage: Eukaryota; Metazoa; Arthropoda; Insecta; Coleoptera; Curculionidae.